GAUGAACGCUAGCGGAAGGCUUAAUACAUGCAAGUCGAGCGGUAGUCCCCUUCGGGGGAUGAGAGCGGCGCACGGGUGAGUAACGCGUACAUGACCUGCCUGUCAGAAGGGAUAGCCCUGGGAAACUGGGAUUAAUACCCUAUGGUAUUGAUAUUAUGAAUGAUAUCAAUUAAAGUUGAGGCGCUGACAGAUGGAUGUGCGUCUGAUUAGCUAGUUGGUAGGGUAACGGCCUACCAAGGCGACGAUCAGUAGGGGGCGUGAGAGCGUGGUCCCCCACACGGGUACUGAGACACGGACCCGACUCCUACGGGAGGCAGCAGUAAGGAAUAUUGGUCAAUGCCCGCAAGGGUGAACCAGCCAUUCCGCGUGGAGGAUGAAGGCCCUAUGGGUUGUAAACUUCUUUUAGAUGGGAAGAAAAUGCUAGAUGUAUCUGGUACUGACGGUACCAUCAGAAUAAGCACCGGCUAACUCCGUGCCAGCAGCCGCGGUAAUACGGAGGGUGCGAGCGUUAUCCGGAAUUACUGGGUUUAAAGGGUGCGUAGGCGGAUAAUUAAGUCUAAGGUGAAAGUUUGUCGCUUAACGAUAAAAUUGCCUUGGAUACUGGUUAUCUUGAAUAAGGAUGAGGAUGGCGGAAUGUGGCAUGUAGCGGUGAAAUGCAUAGGUAUGCCAUAGAACACCAAUUGCGAAGGCAGCUAUCUGGUCUUUUAUUGACGCUGAGGCACGAAAGCGUGGGGAUCGAACAGGAUUAGAUACCCUGGUAGUCCACGCCCUAAACGAUGCUAACUCGAUGUUUGGUCGUACGAUUGAGCAUCCAAGCGAAAGCGUUAAGUUAGCCACCUGGGGAGUACGACCGCAAGGUUG
This 861-nucleotide ribosomal RNA is filed under the name uncultured bacterium. Its description in RNAcentral is "bacterial SSU rRNA". It matches the Rfam family "Bacterial small subunit ribosomal RNA", at positions 28 to 896 of the family's 1533-position model. The record is from RNAcentral.